RNAcentral lists this microRNA (23 nucleotides) under Drosophila sechellia. RNAcentral's name for it is "dse-miR-313-5p". Its record names the gene dse-miR-313-5p. RNAcentral also lists the same sequence under 1 other name. Lineage: Eukaryota; Metazoa; Arthropoda; Insecta; Diptera; Drosophilidae. The record is from miRBase by way of RNAcentral.
UGCUGCGCAUUGGGGCACUACUG